CUACGGGUCGCUGCAGUGGGGAAUAUUGGACAAUGGGGGAAACCCUGAUCCAGCAAUGCCGCGUGUGUGAAGAAGGCCUGCGGGUUGUAAAGCACUUUCGGUUGGGAGGACUGCUUCUAGCACUAAUAUUGUUGGAAGUUGACGUUACCUUCAGAAGAAGCACCGGCUAACUCCGUGCCAGCAGCCGCGAGUAAUACGGAGGGUGCAAGCGUUAAUCGGAAUUACUGGGCGUAAAGCGCGCGUAGGCGGCUAGAUCAGUCGGGUGUGAAAGCCCCGGGCUUAACCUGGGAACUGCAUCCGAUACUGUCUAGCUUGAGUACAGGAGAGGAGAGUGGAAUUCCACAUGUAGCGGUGAAAUGCGUAGAUAUGUGGAGGAACACCAAUGGCGAAGGCAGCUCUCUGGCCUGAUACUGACGCUGAGGUGCGAAAGCGUGGGGAGCAAACAGGAUUAGAUACCCGAGUAGUC
RNAcentral lists this ribosomal RNA (466 nucleotides) under uncultured bacterium. Its description in RNAcentral is "partial 16S ribosomal RNA". It matches the Rfam family "Bacterial small subunit ribosomal RNA", at positions 339 to 795 of the family's 1533-position model. The record is from RNAcentral.